ACUUUCUUCUAUGCAUCUAUUUUUAUGUGGUUUAAAAAAAGAAAAAAAUUAAAAAUAAAUGUAGUGCAUUUUACUAUCACUUAUUUUAUUAUAUAAUUUAAAUAUGACAAAUGAAAUAUAAUUUUGCCAUUUUAGCAUUUAGUAAACGUUACUUUUGAUAUAUUUUGAUUGUUUUUGACACGUAUUAUUAUUGAAUUUAUAAUUAGUACCACUAUUAUUGAAAAAAAAACAAAAAAAAAAAUAGCUGUAAAUAUAUAAACAUAAAGCAAACUAGUCGAUGUAUCAUUUAAAACACAUUAUGUAUUAUCAUGUAAAACGUGAUAUAAGUUUAAAAAAACAAAAUAUUGUACAUAUAUAUAUAUAUAUAUAUAUAUAUAUAUAUAUAUGUAUAAUAUAUAAUUUUAUAAUAAUUUGCAUGCACAUUGAUAAUGUAUUAAAAAAAAAAAAAAAAAAAAAUCUAUAAAACCGCAUCAGAAACAACUAACAUAAUUAAUAAAAACUUUUUUAUGUAAGCUGAUGUUUUAUCUGUAUUAUUUAAAACAUGUCAUAACAAAAAAUAUUUACAUUUACAAUUAUUGUCUGUAUUAUGUUUUUAAUUUAAAAAUUUAUAGCUUGCAACUAAAUCCAUAAAAAUAUUUGAUAGCUUUGUAUAACAUGUAUUAUCAAUUUUUUUUUUUAUUUAUAUAAUUGUAUAUAUAUUUUUGUUUUUUUAAUAGUUUUGUACAACACGUAUUAUCAUACGAAGUAAAAUAUAUCUAUAAUUUUUUUUUUAUUUUUUUAAUUCAUUUGUACAAUCGGAAAAGCAUAAUUCAACAGUAUGGCAGAAGGAAAUCCCUUAGAAAAUAACAAUAAUACAUUAAACUUAACAACAUUGCUUGAAGCAUUAACUAAUGGACCUGAUGGUGAUGCUCAAGAUAUGGAUAGUAAUGGAACAACCAUUGCCACUCAUUUGCGAGUUCGUAGAAGUUUACCGAAUGAUCGUUCUGUGAUGCAACAAGCCAGUGUGUUUAUUACAAAGAUGAAAUUAUUUAUAACAUGUUUUAUGUUGCUUUUAUUAGUUGUGUCUAUCCUUAUUAUUUUGAUACUUGAAUACAAAGUAAGAUUAAUAAAAAUUUCUAUGUAAUAUAUUUAUAUGUAUUUCAUUUUUAUAUAACUCCAUAUAAAUAAUUGAAUAUUUAUACAAUAAUAUUUUAUGCAUAUUUUUUAUUAUAACAGAAAGUUUACAUAGAUCAAAACAGCGUCGUCGUAGAAGACGAUAAAAUCAUAAGAACUAUAUUUGAAAUAAAUAUAAAGAUGCAUUUACUAAACA
RNAcentral lists this long non-coding RNA (1309 nucleotides) under Piliocolobus tephrosceles (Ugandan red Colobus). RNAcentral's name for it is "lncRNA (ENSPTEG00000024238.1)". Lineage: Eukaryota; Metazoa; Chordata; Mammalia; Primates; Cercopithecidae. The record is from RNAcentral.